GGCAAGGUGGCCGAGUGGUCUAAGGCGCAUGGUUCAGGUUCCAAUCUGAUCAGGAAAAGUAUUACAACUUUCCAUGUCAUUAAUUUGGCGUGGGUUCGAAUCCCACCCUUGUCA
RNAcentral lists this transfer RNA (114 nucleotides) under Aspergillus bertholletiae. It matches the Rfam family "tRNA". From Rfam's summary of the family: Transfer RNA (tRNA) molecules are approximately 80 nucleotides in length. Their secondary structure includes four short double-helical elements and three loops (D, anti-codon, and T loops). Further hydrogen bonds mediate the characteristic L-shaped molecular structure. tRNAs have two regions of fundamental functional importance: the anti-codon, which is responsible for specific mRNA codon recognition, and the 3' end, to which the tRNAs corresponding amino acid is attached (by aminoacyl-tRNA synthetases). tRNAs cope with the degeneracy of the genetic code in two manners: having more than one tRNA (with a specific anti-codon) for a particular amino acid; and 'wobble' base-pairing, i.e. permitting non-standard base-pairing at the 3rd anti-codon position. Lineage: Eukaryota; Fungi; Ascomycota; Eurotiomycetes; Eurotiales; Aspergillaceae. The record is from Rfam by way of RNAcentral.